GAUGAACGCUAGCUACAGGCUUAACACAUGCAAGUCGAGGGGAAACGACAUCGAAAGCUUGCUUUUGAUGGGCGUCGACCGGCGCACGGGUGAGUAACGCGUAUCCAACCUGCCCAUCACUUGGGAAUAACCUUGCGAAAGUAAGACUAAUACCCAAUGAUAUCCCACGAAGGCAUCGGAAUGGGAUUAAAGAUUUAUCGGUGAUGGAUGGGGAUGCGUCUGAUUAGCUUGUUGGCGGGGUAACGGCCCACCAAGGCAACGAUCAGUAGGGGUUCUGAGAGGAAGGUACCCCACAUUGGAACUGAGACACGGUCCAAACUCGUACGGGAGGCAGCAGUGAGGAAUAUUGGGCGAUGGGCGAGAGCCUGAACCAGCCAAGUAGCGUGCAGGAAGACGGCCCUAUGGGUUGUAAACUGCUUUUAUAAGGGAAUAAAGUGGGUAACGUGUGACUUUUUGCAUGUACCUUAUGAAUAAGGACCGGCUAACUCCGUG
RNAcentral lists this ribosomal RNA (492 nucleotides) under uncultured bacterium. Its description in RNAcentral is "partial 16S ribosomal RNA". It matches the Rfam family "Bacterial small subunit ribosomal RNA", at positions 28 to 507 of the family's 1533-position model. The record is from RNAcentral.